Molecule: long non-coding RNA, 1859 nt
Organism: Monodelphis domestica (gray short-tailed opossum)
Lineage: Eukaryota; Metazoa; Chordata; Mammalia; Didelphimorphia; Didelphidae
Source: Ensembl
CGCUCCCAGAACUAGGUCAUCGGCCGCCAGCAGCCCGGAGUGGGGGGUGGGGGUGUUCUGAAAGAGCGGCCGCCCCUCCCCAUCCCCCAAUCCUUUCUCCCUCCGCCUUCCUUCCAGUCUCCCUUCCUCUCUCUUUUCCCUCUCCUCCACUCCCUUUCCCCCUUCCCUUCCCCCACUCUCCCUGCCUCCCUCUUUCACCUCCUCCCUUCCCCCUCCCCAUCUUCCCCGGGCCCCUGCGGGAUCUGAAUGCCGGGAAGCCCCGGAUCGCCUUAGUGGGCCCCGAUGCGAAGGAUGCCCAGGAGGGACCCGACCUGGCGCGCACGCAUUGGUUGUUUAUAAUGCGGAGUGAUUCCUGGAAGAUUCGUCCUGGGAGGCUGAGGGGAGACGGGGCUCCGGCUGGCCCCUAAACUGGACCGUGUGAAAUGAGAUGUCAGGAGGUGACCUCCACGUUCUUUUCCAGCUCGCACAAUUCUAGGAGUGACAAAGAGCUCCAUUAUCGGAGCUUCCCGGCAGCGUGGAACCCUGGAAAUGGUAUCUGGGGAGAUCUGGGUUUGAGUCCCAUCUGAUCCUGGACCAGCUGAGUGACCUUGGACAAAUCCCAGCCUCUCUGAACCUCAGUUUCCUCAUCUGUCAAGGGGAGAAGAUGGUGGCAGCUACCUCAUUGGGUUUCUGGAACACUAUUCUGUCUCUCCUGGUUCUCCUCCUCCAUCUCAGACUGCUUCUUCUCUGUCUUCUUGGUGGAAUUCUCUUACCAAUCGCACCUUCUAAUCGUAGAUGGCCUUCUUCUCCUAUUCUACUUGCAUUGAUGAUCUCAUCAGUUUCCAUGGAGCAAGGAAGAUGGAAGAUGGGAGAGAACUGAGGGGCCAAGGAAUCAAAGGCCAUCAACUACUCAAGAGUAGGAUUUUGUGAAGGAACUCAAAGGGGGAGGUAAAAAGCCAAUAGCUGAUGGUUGAAUAUGGGGAUGUCAGAAUUCUUCUUUUUUUUUAAACCCUUACCUUCUGUCUUGGAAACAAUGUUCCAAGACAGAAGAGUGGUAAGGGCUAGGCAAUGGGGGUUAAGUGACUUGCCCAGGGUCACACAGCUGGGAAAUGUCUGAGGCCAUAUUUGAACCCAGGACCUCCCAUUUCUAGGCCUGGCUCUCAAUCCAAUGAACCACCCAGCUGCCCCCAUGUCAGAAUUCUUGAACACAGAGGUAGUAUAUUUGUGGGCAAUGACUACAUCAAGGGGAUGACCAUCUCUGUGUGUCUAAAAUGGGUAAAGGAAUAGCACCUGGAAGGUGAGUAUGUUGAGGAACUGAGUGGUUUGGGAAUGAAGGAGAAUAUAUGAAUAUAUAUUUAAUCCUCUAAUAUAAGGGCGGGAGUUGGGGACAAGACAGAAGUUGUGAGCCAGAUAUCAAACUCAUUGAGGAAGAAAGGGCAGUGGCCUGGGGGCGCUACAGACAAUAGCUACCAAAACUUCUGGGUGGUAGAAAUGAAGAGCAAGAACCUCAGAGGAAGAGAGCUUACUGAAUGAGAGGGGAGAAGAGGGAGAACCUGGAAGUAGCAAUAGGAAGAAAAGAAUACUCUAAGUCCCCCAUCUUAACUGGUGACCCAAGGAGAAUGAGUGAAGGUGUAGUCAGCUACUAGAAAGGGUGGCCAAAGAGAUAGUGUCGUCACUAAGGGGGUUUUGUAAGAGCUAAUAGAUCAAAGGAGUGGGAGAAGUGCAGGGAAUUGUGUCGUCUGUGAAAUGGGCAUUCCAGAGGGCACAGUAGAAGGGCUGGGUGGAUUGAGGUUGAAACUUCAGAAUAGGGGGUUGAGGGGGAUGGGGAUGAGGAACUGGGUGGCAGAAGGAAUGGAAUGAAGUUUGGUUAAUGACCUACC